GAAGUUCCUAUUUUUGCGAGGAAUCUCAAUUUCGUCCCGUUCUUUUUGGUUUUCUCAAUUAGGUUCAAUUUUAUGAAAAUUGUAACAAUUAGACCCUUUCCGUUAAAUUGGGUCUAACAACGUUAGUGUGUGUUUGAUGUGGCACAGCUGACAGGGACACCUUAAUUGACGUGGAUAAACGACGGGAACCACCACCCAACAACAUCCAUUUUCUUACCUCUCACACCAUCCUCAAGGAUCGAUUCCUCUGUUUGCUUGACGGAAAAUGCUCCUCCAUCAUACACAUAACCAAACAUCUAUCUUCCAAACCCAAGCUUCAUCGCCCAUUCUUACCAGAUUUCAAUAAUCAAGCCAAAUUCUUAUAAUGGAAACCAGAACAUCUUCUUUUCACUUGCCUCGACAAACAAUCAUUCUUUGGCUUAUGCAAUCAAAACUCUUGAAGAGUCAAACAUUCUCUUCUUUAUCCUCACCAUAGCCAUAUUCACACGAAGAUCCCCUUUUGACUCAACACCACACCUCAUUGCUUCAACCUAUCAUCCACUACACGAAUCAUCUCUAGAAGACACCAUUCACCCCAUUAACAGUUCGGAGCAACCACCUCCUCCAUCACACAAAACACAAAACCAAAGCGAAACAGAGACGAACCCAUCCACUCACUUACUAUCCCCACUACUUUUCCCAUCACCAUCACACCAAACCAUCUCGACACCCAAAGUGGAAAAUAGAUAUCAGAGGGCAUAGAAACAAUUGUUGAAAGCAAGUUCUCAGUUCAAGUGAUGAGGGGCAACUGUCGGAGUUAGGUUGAUGGCAGUGUCGUGCGAAAAUGAAGGGGAAAGGGUUUCACGCUGAGAAAGCCGAGGGUGACGCCGCCUUUGUCGCUCCUAAUCACCUCUGGCAGUGGAGAAAAUUAUAAUAGCUACCGUGACCAAUAAGGGUUGGCGGUGACGACUGACACCCUCAGAGAUGCCUCUAGCGAGGCAUAAACUGGUACGACAUUUGGUUCUGUUUAAGCAAGGUUCGCACAAGAGGAGGAAUGAUU
Molecule: long non-coding RNA, 1039 nt
Filed under: Vigna radiata
Lineage: Eukaryota; Viridiplantae; Streptophyta; Magnoliopsida; Fabales; Fabaceae
Description: long non-coding RNA (VRAD_LNC014156)
Source: RNAcentral